AGGGAUAUAGCUCAGUGGGUAGAGGGUUUGCUUCACACGCACAAAGGCCUGGGUUCAAUCCCCAGCACCACAU
Non-coding RNA from Ictidomys tridecemlineatus (thirteen-lined ground squirrel), 73 nucleotides. NCBI's taxonomy places the organism in Eukaryota, Metazoa, Chordata, Mammalia, Rodentia, Sciuridae. The record is from Rfam.